UUAAGCGACUAAGCGUACACGGUGGAUGCCCUGGCAGUCAGAGGCGAUGAAGGACGUGCUAAUCUGCGAUAAGCGUCGGUAAGGUGAUAUGAACCGUUAUAACCGGCGAUUUCCGAAUGGGGAAACCCAGUGUGAUUUGUCACACUAUCAUUAACUGAAUCCAUAGGUUAAUGAGGCGAACCGGGGGAACUGAAACAUCUAAGUACCCCGAGGAAAAGAAAUCAACCGAGAUUCCCCCAGUAGCGGCGAGCGAACGGGGAGGAGCCCAGAGCCUGAAUCAGUGUGUGUGUUAGUGGAAGCGUCUGGAAAGGCGCGCGAUACAGGGUGACAGCCCCGUACACAAAAAUGCACAUGCUGUGAGCUCGAUGAGUAGGGCGGGACACGUGGUAUCCUGUCUGAAUAUGGGGGGACCAUCCUCCAAGGCUAAAUACUCCUGACUGACCGAUAGUGAACCAGUACCGUGAGGGAAAGGCGAAAAGAACCCCGGCGAGGGGAGUGAAAAAGAACCUGAAACCGUGUACGUACAAGCAGUGGGAGCACGCUUCGGCGUGUGACUGCGUACCUUUUGUAUAAUGGGUCAGCGACUUAUAUUCUGUAGCAAGGUUAACCGAAUAGGGGAGCCGAAGGGAAACCGAGUCUUAACUGGGCGUUAAGUUGCAGGGUAUAGACCCGAAACCCGGUGAUCUAGCCAUGGGCAGGUUGAAGGUUGGGUAACACUAACUGGAGGACCGAACCGACUAAUGUUGAAAAAUUAGCGGAUGACUUGUGGCUGGGGGUGAAAGGCCAAUCAAACCGGGAGAUAGCUGGUUCUCCCCGAAAGCUAUUUAGGUAGCGCCUCGUGAAUUCAUCUCCGGGGGUAGAGCACUGUUUCGGCAAGGGGGUCAUCCCGACUUACCAACCCGAUGCAAACUGCGAAUACCGGAGAAUGUUAUCACGGGAGACACACGGCGGGUGCUAACGUCCGUCGUGAAGAGGGAAACAACCCAGACCGCCAGCUAAGGUCCCAAAGUCAUGGUUAAGUGGGAAACGAUGUGGGAAGGCCCAGACAGCCAGGAUGUUGGCUUAGAAGCAGCCAUCAUUUAAAGAAAGCGUAAUAGCUCACUGGUCGAGUCGGCCUGCGCGGAAGAUGUAACGGGGCUAAACCAUGCACCGAAGCUGCGGCAGCGACACUAUGUGUUGUUGGGUAGGGGAGCGUUCUGUAAGCCUGUGAAGGUGGCCUGUGAGGGUUGCUGGAGGUAUCAGAAGUGCGAAUGCUGACAUAAGUAACGAUAAAGCGGGUGAAAAGCCCGCUCGCCGGAAGACCAAGGGUUCCUGUCCAACGUUAAUCGGGGCAGGGUGAGUCGACCCCUAAGGCGAGGCCGAAAGGCGUAGUCGAUGGGAAACAGGUUAAUAUUCCUGUACUUGGUGUUACUGCGAAGGGGGACGGAGAAGGCUAUGUUGGCCGGGCGACGGUUGUCCCGGUUUAAGCGUGUAGGCUGAUUUUCCAGGCAAAUCCGGAAAAUCAAGGCUGAGGCGUGAUGACGAGGCACUACGGUGCUGAAGCAACAAAUGCCCUGCUUCCAGGAAAAGCCUCUAAGCAUCAGGUAACAUCAAAUCGUACCCCAAACCGACACAGGUGGUCAGGUAGAGAAUACCAAGGCGCUUGAGAGAACUCGGGUGAAGGAACUAGGCAAAAUGGUGCCGUAACUUCGGGAGAAGGCACGCUGAUAUGUAGGUGAAGCGACUUGCUCGUGGAGCUGAAAUCAGUCGAAGAUACCAGCUGGCUGCAACUGUUUAUUAAAAACACAGCACUGUGCAAACACGAAAGUGGACGUAUACGGUGUGACGCCUGCCCGGUGCCGGAAGGUUAAUUGAUGGGGUUAGCGGUAACGCGAAGCUCUUGAUCGAAGCCCCGGUAAACGGCGGCCGUAACUAUAACGGUCCUAAGGUAGCGAAAUUCCUUGUCGGGUAAGUUCCGACCUGCACGAAUGGCGUAAUGAUGGCCAGGCUGUCUCCACCCGAGACUCAGUGAAAUUGAACUCGCUGUGAAGAUGCAGUGUACCCGCGGCAAGACGGAAAGACCCCGUGAACCUUUACUAUAGCUUGACACUGAACAUUGAGCCUUGAGUGUAGGAUAGGUGGGAGGCUUUGAAGUGUGGACGCCAGUCUGCAUGGAGCCGACCUUGAAAUACCACCCUUUAAUGUUUGAUGUUCUAACGUUGACCCGUGAUCCGGGUUGCGGACAGUGUCUGGUGGGUAGUUUGACUGGGGCGGUCUCCUCCUAAAGAGUAACGGAGGAGCACGAAGGUUGGCUAAUCCUGGUCGGACAUCAGGAGGUUAGUGCAAUGGCAUAAGCCAGCUUG
Molecule: ribosomal RNA, 2342 nt
Filed under: Escherichia coli
Lineage: Bacteria; Pseudomonadati; Pseudomonadota; Gammaproteobacteria; Enterobacterales; Enterobacteriaceae
Description: bacterial LSU rRNA
Rfam family: Bacterial large subunit ribosomal RNA
Source: RNAcentral